Long non-coding RNA from Sarcophilus harrisii (Tasmanian devil), 591 nucleotides. RefSeq lists it as uncharacterized. The record is from RefSeq and is a predicted model, not a curated record. NCBI's taxonomy places the organism in Eukaryota, Metazoa, Chordata, Mammalia, Dasyuromorphia, Dasyuridae. The transcript is spliced from 2 exons.
GUCUGCCACCGGCGUCCCCGUCCGCCUCAAGGCGGCGGCUCCGCUCGGCCUCGCGCCGCGGCCGCUGCCUGGUUACCAAAAAGCGGGGCGCGUUGCCACAAGGUCACGCCGCAGCGCAGCAGUUUGCGCCGUGACCUUGCUUCGGCCCGGCUCUCCACGAGCCCGUCCGGGCUUGCCUGGCAGAGACACUGGCCGUCCUUCCCCAGCUCACCUUAGGGGCGAGGAAACUGAGGCAAGCUGGGGCGCACGGCCCGGCUGAGUCUGAAGCUGAGGGACUUGCGGUGCUGCCCCGGGGGCACAGAAGCCCUUGAACUUCCCGUGUCCUCCCCCGGAAAAUACCGGGGCUAGGGAUGCUGAGGACCCUUCCGGCUGGAACGUUCCGCGCCGUCCCCGCCCCUGGGGAGGCCCCUCGAGGAACAACUAUUUUAAUCCCCAACUACAAUGGAGAAACCGAGGCUCAGACGCUAGCCCAAAGCCACAGAGCAGCGCCGCCAGGGUGAGCGCCCAGGACUACUGCGCACACCCUUGGGGCAAUCACUUGCUUUCCUCACCUCCUGGGCCGUGUGAGGAUUAAAAGAGAGCUGCAAAGUG